AGUAGUUGUUGGAAAUUGGCCGUUGGGAUGCAGUCUGAGCUUGGAUACCUGAGUAAUAACGGACAACAGAUAAAGCUCCGCAUCCUUGCGCCACGUGCUUCGAUCAGCUGGAUACUCUUGUUACCAGAAUUCCAAAGGUUCUGACAGAAUCAAAGAUGGAUACAAAGUGAACUCACACAUAGCUAAGCUGCAAGAGUUAUGGAAAACUCCCCAAAAUCAAACAAUCCACCUCCCUAAAUCAAUGAUGGAUGCGUCCUUUUUCAAGCAUCCAGACCUCACCACAGGCCAGAAGCAUUACCUGUGCAGCAUUGCUAAAAUCUAUAAUGCAAACUAUCUGAAGAUGUUAAUGAAGAGGCAGUACAUGCACGUACUUCAGCACAGCUUACAAAAGCCAGGUGUCCUCACUCAUCACAGAAGCCGCCUUAGUUCUCGUUACUCACAGAAACAGCAUUACCCUUGCACUACAUGGCGACACCAACUGGAGAGAGAGGACUCGGGGCCUUCUGAUAUCACAGCUGCACCUGCACCUGAAAUGCUCAUACAGCAUUCCCUUUGGCGGCCAGUGAGAAACAAAGAAGGGUCUGUUUCUUAGUGUAAAAAGGGGGAAAUGCAUCUCAGUUUAAUUUUUUUUUUUUCUCAGACAGGGUCUUGUUCUCUCACCCAGGCUGGAGUGUAGUGGUGUGAUAUAGUUUACAGUAUUCUAACUCCUGGGCUUAAGCAAUGCUUCUGCCUCAGACUCCCAAGUAGCUAGGGCUAAAGGCACAAACCACCAUGCCCUGCUAAUUAAAAAAAAUUUUUUGUGGAGAAAGCAUCUCACUAUGUUGGCCAAGGUACUCUCACCUCCGCCUCCCAAAGCACUGGGAUUACAGGCGUGAGCUACUGUGCCCAGCCUUCCCCAUCUCUUUUGAAGGGUAGCUAAGUGAUAUUAAUGCUUGUGUUCCCUAAUAUGUUCACUUUGCUAAAUUCAGAAUAGGCUGGACUUUUAAAAAGCAGAGAGAGAUACUUUUUUUUUUUUUUGAGACCAAGUUUCGCUCUUGUUGCCCAGGCUAAAGUGCAGCGGCGCAAUCUUGGCUCACCGCAACCUCCACUUCCCGGGUUCAAGCGAUUCUCCUGCCUCAGCCUUCCUGAGUAGCUGAGAUUACGGGCAUGCGCCACCAUGCCCAG
Molecule: small RNA, 1164 nt
Filed under: Pongo abelii (Sumatran orangutan)
Lineage: Eukaryota; Metazoa; Chordata; Mammalia; Primates; Hominidae
Description: retained intron
Source: RNAcentral